UUGAUAGUCCUGGAGACCGAAAUCCUGUCUUCAUGAACAGAACUGGUAACUGCUCAGGUUACAACCAUGCAAGCUUCUUCUACUGCCCCACCAAUGUGCCUCAACCCUGAGCUGGAGGGCUCACCUGUGUGCCACAAAUGACAACAAGGGUGCCAUUUUCUCUAGGGUGGCUAUUGCACAAAGGCCACC
Molecule: small RNA, 189 nt
Filed under: Chrysemys picta bellii (western painted turtle)
Lineage: Eukaryota; Metazoa; Chordata; Testudines; Emydidae
Description: TUC338 (ENSCPBG00000028246.1)
Source: RNAcentral